Molecule: non-coding RNA, 73 nt
Organism: Silurus meridionalis
Lineage: Eukaryota; Metazoa; Chordata; Actinopteri; Siluriformes; Siluridae
Source: the annotation of a RefSeq genome assembly
GGUUCUAUAGUGUAGUGGUCAUCACGUUUGCUUUACAUGCAGAUGGUCCUGGGUUCGAGUCCCAAUAGAACCA